CCAAAGACUCUCGGCAACGGAUAUCUCGGCUCUUGCAUCGAUGAAGAACGUAGCGAAAUGCGAUACUUGGUGUGAAUUGCAGAAUCCCGUGAACCAUCGAGUCGUUGAACGCAAGUUGCGCCCGAAGCCAUCAGGCCGAGGGCACGCCUGCCUGGGUGUCGCAC
This 164-nucleotide ribosomal RNA is filed under the name Thermopsis rhombifolia. RNAcentral's name for it is "5.8S ribosomal RNA". It matches the Rfam family "5.8S ribosomal RNA". Rfam says of the family: 5.8S ribosomal RNA (5.8S rRNA) is a component of the large subunit of the eukaryotic ribosome. It is transcribed by RNA polymerase I as part of the 45S precursor that also contains 18S and 28S rRNA. Functionally, it is thought that 5.8S rRNA may be involved in ribosome translocation. Lineage: Eukaryota; Viridiplantae; Streptophyta; Magnoliopsida; Fabales; Fabaceae. The record is from RNAcentral.